UGCGCAGGCGGGGAAAUAAGUCAGUGGUGAAAAGCUGCCGCUUAACGGUAGUCUUACCAAUGAUACUGUUUUUCUUGAGUAUGGUUAAGGUAGGCGGAAUGUGCAGUGUAGCGGUGAAAUGCAUAGAGAUUGCACAGAAGGCCGAUUGCGGAGGCAGCUUACUGAGCCAUAACUGACGCUGAGGCACGAAAGCGUGGGGAUCGAACAGGAUUAGAUACCCUGGUAGUCC
This 229-nucleotide ribosomal RNA is filed under the name uncultured bacterium. RNAcentral describes it as "partial 16S ribosomal RNA". It matches the Rfam family "Bacterial small subunit ribosomal RNA", at positions 568 to 796 of the family's 1533-position model. The record is from RNAcentral.